This 1379-nucleotide long non-coding RNA is filed under the name Elaeis guineensis (African oil palm). RNAcentral describes it as "long non-coding RNA (EGUI_LNC004793)". The record is from RNAcentral. Lineage: Eukaryota; Viridiplantae; Streptophyta; Magnoliopsida; Arecales; Arecaceae.
AGCCUCAGCCUUCAGAAUAUCUCCAGCUAAAGCCAACUCAUCUCCAUCCUCAACUCCAUGCUCCACAAAGAUACCUAGAAGUGUAAUUCAUGUUUCUGGUCCACAUCUACAUGCCUUCAAAACUCCCAUUUCUACACCAAGUUCUCAUCUAGAAAGCAAAAGACUGAUGAAUCAAUGAAGACCUUUCAAUAUGGGUACUUCACCUUUUGUUAGUAGGUUUGACCUAUUGGUGGAACUCAUCAGCCUCAAGGCCUGGCCAUGGUACCUCUCCCUCUCCUGUGGGGUUUCCUUUGGAUGUUGUAGGCUCCUGCUGUGAAACUUGAAUAGUUGGUGGAAGUUGGUUUUGCACUAAAUGUUGGAAAACGAAAGAUCGAUAGAAAGGGAAGUUAAAAAAAAAAAAAGGAAAGCUUAUUGAUGGAGGCAUGCUUUAAGGUGCUAGCUUUCUAGAAGGAUUUGUCCCUACAAGAACUCACCAGCUUUAUGCUUGUUGAUUGUGCUUCCUAUCGACUUACACAAAACUGUUGCAAUUUUAUUUGAUUUUUAUUGUGGUUAAUGAUUCAAUACUUUUGUCAUUGACUAGCUUCUUAACAACAAUAUAGUUGCUUAGGAAGGUUUAGGUAACUGAGCCCUUUUCUCCCUCAACCCCUGAAAUGCCAAAAUCUCACCCCAGAAACAAAAUUAAAAGCAGCCCGAUCCCCCUACCAUUGAUAAUAUUUGCGAUAGGCAAACAAUAAGCUUCUCCUUUUUCUCUGAGAACUUUACCUUCAUUAAGGUAAUGAAGAGGAAAUAAAGAGAGAGUUAUUAUAGAGAUACAUAGAAGGGAAAACAAAAGGCUGCUCCUAUCUUUUAUUCUCUUUCAGGUAGCUAAUAUGAUUCAGGCUUAUGUCAGAUCUAGGAAAUCCAAGCUCUACUCAUGUUGUCUUGGCCAUGGACAACCUAGUUGACAAACCUUGGAACCUGAGUACAGAAGUAAGGGCCACCAAUGUAUGUAUAAACUUUUAAAAUGCUUAUGGCAGCUAGGAAUCACAUUCUGUGCUAAAGAUGCUAGAAUCAACACAGCUAUAAAAGGCUCGUAAUGCAUGAAAAGCUGACAGAUCAUGACUGGAUUUGAGAUCAAACGCAUGCCUUUCUAAGAUCCUGGCAAAAGAUCUAGGUCAGAGCACCAUUGAUUUAACUGAGAGACAAAAAUUGAGCAAAACUAGGUCAUUGUCCAGUUUUUGUUGAUAGUUGGAAAUCUUCGAGAAACAUGAAACAAUGGUACGUCGAUUUCACACUAUUGAUUGAGGUCCUAAGAAGAUGUUGAUGCAAAACUUGUACUAAUGUCAGCCAAGUGCUGCUCCACAUGCUGACUAAAUUGCUUUCCCUUCUAGAGGAGCCAA